AGGUCAGCUGAACAAGAGCAAGAUGAUAACCUAAAAUGAAGUAUGGUCUUGUAACAUAUGUAUUUCCUAAAACGUGAAUGCUUGUUGGCUUAUUCAUGUUAAGUAUGAAAUUUUCAACAUGAUGCAUGCUCAAGUGACACUGUACAGAUCUCAUUCCUUGAUGCUAACUAAAUUUGAAUCUGUUGACCAUCAAAGUGGGAGAACUCAAGGUGGAACAUUAAACAAAAACUUGGAUGUGGUCCACGAGGAUAUAGCUGAAUAUGAUAAGUGCAUGUGGGUUUCUAACAUGACAUUUCCAGCCACUAACAUCCAAUGGGACAACUGGCAAUUUGCACACAUAUGGAACCCAACCAAGCAAGUGGGUGUUACAUAAUCAACCAACCUCUUUUCUG
This 392-nucleotide long non-coding RNA is filed under the name Vitis vinifera (wine grape). RNAcentral describes it as "long non-coding RNA (VVIN_LNC007674)". The record is from RNAcentral. Lineage: Eukaryota; Viridiplantae; Streptophyta; Magnoliopsida; Vitales; Vitaceae.